This is a long non-coding RNA of Monodelphis domestica (gray short-tailed opossum), 753 nucleotides long. RefSeq lists it as uncharacterized. Lineage: Eukaryota; Metazoa; Chordata; Mammalia; Didelphimorphia; Didelphidae. The record is from RefSeq and is a predicted model, not a curated record.
UGUGUUCUUAGAAAUAAUUACCUAUGUUGGUCCUCCGAAGUAACACACCCUGCCCACCCCUCGCCACGUUCCCACUCUAGAAGGGCAGCAAGACUUCUCCCGUGGUGAUAAAUGAUGACAAGGUGGACAACGGAGGAACGUGAAACCAGAAGACACCUCCAAGCUGGGGAUGCCCUCUGCAAAUGGCCUUCUCUCUAGUUCCCUUCUUCCUGUGGGGCUCUGCUUCCUUCUCAUGGAAUCCUCUACCAACCUGGCAGCUUCCUCUCUUUUCUAGGGCAGCAUCUAUUUUUCCUGGAAUCUGGGGAACUCGUUUUACAUUCUGAAUGGCGAUCAUCAUAUUGCCUUGCAAGUUCCACGCUUCCUUUUCAAAGAAGCCCACUGGUACAGAAGUGCACUGAGCACUCACCUUUUGUGGCGGCGGAUUCUUUCUGUAACAGAAAUCAGCAGAAACCACCCAGAGGUUUGCUAGGGCCAGUCCUUCCUUCUACGACCUGCCUCUGCUAGGUCUGGGAGGCACUGGCCUCAGCUAUCAGGGAGGAAAAAUCAUUGGAAAUCUCGGGGCACUUGGGAGACACAGCAGGAGCACACAUAUUCCUCUUGACUGGGAGAGCUACUUUCUGUGUAUGCUAGUAUGCUCUAUGCCCUAGAGACGCUCCGUCUUCUAUAGAUUGCAGAAAUCUCCCAAUCAAUCAGUCAACAAGUGCCUAAUAUUAUAUAUGCUGGAGAUAAGAAUGAAAUACAUUUCUACCCCGA